RNAcentral lists this unclassified non-coding RNA (318 nucleotides) under uncultured Ascomycota. RNAcentral describes it as "sequence contains ITS1". The stretch from base 1 to 105 matches the Rfam family "5.8S ribosomal RNA", at positions 50 to 154 of the family's 154-position model. The record is from RNAcentral. Lineage: Eukaryota; Fungi; Ascomycota.
GAAAUGCGAUAAGUAAUGUGAAUUGCAGAAUUCAGUGAAUCAUCGAAUCUUUGAACGCACAUUGCGCCCGCGAGUAUUCUCGCGGGCAUGCCUGUCCGAGCGUCAUUUCAACCCUCAGGGCCCGCCUGCUUGCAGGCGCGGCGCUGGCGUUGGGGAUCGGCCCUCACCGGUCGUCCCCCAAAUACAGUGGCGGUCUCGCUGCAGCCUCCCCUGCGUAGUAGCAACACUCGCACGCGGAGCGCGGCGCGGCCACGCCGUAAAACCCCCGACUUUCUGAACGUUGACCUCGGAUCAGGUAGGAAUACCCGCUGAACUUAA